AGAUUAGCUGGUUUGAUGUUGAAAAAUGCACUGGAUGCUAAGGAGCAGCAUAGGAAGUUUGAGCUUGUUCAGAGAUGGUUGAUGUUGGAUGCUACUGUAAAGGCUCAGAUAAAAACAUGCUUGUUGAAGACACUCUCUUCUCUUGUACCUGAUGCUCGUAAACCUGCAGCUCAAGUAAUUGCCAAAGUUGCUGGAAUUGAGCUCCCCCAGAAACAGUGGCCUGAACUGAUUGGAUCCCUUUUGUCGAAUGUUCAUCAGCUACCUGCUCAUGUCAAGGAAGCAACAUUGGAGACUCUUGGGUAUUUGUGCGAGGAAGUUUCUCCGGAUGCUGUGGAUCAAGAUAACGUGAAUAAAAUCUUGACUGUUGUUGUUCAAGGAAUGAGUUCUUCCGAAGUGAAUACUGAUGUCAGAUUGGCUGCUAUUCAAGCAUUAUAUAAUGCACUGAGCUUUGCUCAAGCAAAUUUCAGCAAUGACAUGGAACGUGAUUAUAUCAUGAGAGUUGUCUGUGAGGCUGCUUUGUCGAAAGAAUUGAAGAUCCGCCUAGCAGCUUUUGAAUGUUUGGUGUCUAUUGCAUCAAUGUACUAUGAGAAGUUAACUCCAUAUAUGCAAGAUAUCUUCACAAUCACAUCAAAAGCCGUGAGGGAAGAUGAAGAAGAUGUAGCUCUCCAGGCAAUUGAAUUCUGGAAUUCAAUUUGUGAUGAAGAGAUAGACAUAUUAGAAGAGUACGGGGUCGAGUUUACUGGGGACUCAGAUGCAGUUCAAUGCUCCUAUUUUGUCAAGCAGGCUUUGACUGUUCUUGUACCAAUUUUGUUGGAAACACUUUUGAAGCAAGAGGAAGACCAAGACAAAGAUGACACUGCUUGGAAUAUUGCAAUGGCAGGUGGAACAUGUCUUGGGCUUGUUGCACGUACUGUGGGAGAUGAUAUUGUUCCCCUUGUUAUGCCAUUCAUUGAAGAGAACAUAACAAAACCUGAUUGGAGGCAAAGAGAGGCAGCUACUUAUGCUUUUGGGUCAAUUUUGGAAGGUCCUUCUCCAGACAAGUUGACACCGAUUGUUAAUGUUGCUUUGAACUUCAUGUUAACAGCUUUAACAAAGGACCUGAAUACUCAUGUAAAAGAUACCACUGCCUGGACUCUUGGGCGUAUCUUUGAGUUUCUUCAUGGUUCAACAAUGGAUGCACCAAUCAUUACGCAGGCAAAUUGCCAACAAAUAAUUACUGUACUACUCCAAAGUAUGAGUGAUGCGCCAAAUGUGGCUGGGAAGGCUUGUGGGGCACUAUAUUUUCUUGCUCAGGGUUAUGAAGAUGUGGGCCCAUCAUCUCCUUUGACCCCAUACUUCCAGGAUAUUGUACAGGCACUUCUCACGGUCACUCAUCGGAAAGAUGCAGAUGAUCGGCUAAAGACGGCUGCCUAUGAAACACUUAAUGAAGUGGUUAGGUGUUCAACAGACGAAACUACUCCUACGGUGUUGCAACUUGUUCCUGUGAUAAUGAUGGAACUUCACAAUACACUCGAGGGUCAGAACCUUUCAUCUGAUGAGAGGGAGAAACAACAAGGGCUUCUUUGUGGGUGUUUACAGGUCCUUGUUCAGAAGCUUAGCUCGGCGGAGUCAACUAAGUAUUCGUUUAUGCAGUAUGCAGACCAGAUAAUGGGUCUGUUCCUUAGGGUGUUUGCUUCUAAAAGCGCAACUGUGCAUGAGGAGGCCGUGCUUGCUAUUGGAGCCCUUGCCUAUGCAUGUGGCCCAGAAUUUGACAAGUACAUGCCGGAACUCUACAAGUACUUGGAGAUCGGCCUUCAAAAUUUUGAAGAAUACCAGGUGUGUGCUGUUACUGUUGGAGUGGUAGGCGAUAUUUGCAGGGCGUUGGAAAAUAAAGUUCUACCUUAUUGUGACGGGAUCAUGACACAGCUUCUGAAGGAUUUGUCAAGCAAUCAGUUGCAUCGAUCCGUUAAGCCCCCUAUAUUCUCCUGCCUUGGCGACGUUGCACUGGCAAUAGGCCAAGACUUUGAAAAAUAUCUGAUGUACGCCAUGCCAAUGCUCCAAAGUGCUGCCGAAUUGUCUGCUCAUACUACAGGUGCUGAUGAUGACAUGGUCGAAUAUACGAAUUCUCUCAGAAACGGAAUCUUGGAGGCUUAUUCUGGAAUAUUUCAAGGGUUUAAGAACUCAACUAAAACCCAGCUGUUGAUUCCUUAUGCACCACACAUUCUCCAGUUCUUGGAUAGCAUAUACAUGGAGAAAGACAUGUCAGUAGCUUAUUUUGAUCUUGAUUCUCAAUUUUGCAGCCAUGAAAAAUAUCAGUGUUUGACUGUAAAUUGACUUUUUAACUUGUUUGAAUUCAUGCAGGGAUGAUUUAGUGAUGAAAACAGCUAUUGGAGUACUUGGAGACUUGGCAGACACACUUGGAAGCAAUGCUGGAACUAUGAUACAGAAUUCUCUCUCAAGCAGGGACUUCUUAAACGAAUGCUUAUCUUCGGAAGAUGGUUCGAUAAAGGAAUCUGCUGAAUGGACGAGGCUAGCGAUCACUCGUGCCAUAUCUGCUUGAGAGGUUAUUUGCCAAGCUCGGCAUGUUCUUUCGUUUUAGAGUCCUGCAUGCAUGCAUUGGGGUAUCUUGAGUCAGUCAGGUCCUGGGUUUGCGUUCGUGUCAAGUCGGUCUCGGCAUUUUUCUGGUAACACAAGUUACUCGGGGUGUCCAGUUUUGUCACUAGCUCUUGAAUCAGCACCCGCUGGAGGGCUCGGCUCGGAGGCAUUUGAUUGGCUGCAAACAUCGUUUUGAAGUCAUAACCAGUUGGAAAUAAGGGUCCAAGAAGUGUCAUCAUUCAUAUUGCAUGGAGUCGGUGCAAGUCGGUCAUGGACAUUUGAGUUGGUUGAUGAUAGGUGCUGAGUCGGGUGCAAGGAAUCGUCGCCGAUUGCAUGUAGGGUUGGUCCGUCCGUCCAAGUCGUAAGGUCUCGAUGGGUGUUCCACCAGGACCGAACUCGAAGAGCAUUUGCCGAAACUUUUUUCCUGUGUUUUACUGCAUCUGUCAUCGUUUGUAUCUGUUGUCAUAUGGUAGGUUGUACCAUUGUACCUUCAUUUGUGGGGAAUAUACUUGAAGAGUCUUGCAUUGCAUGAUUCAUUUGUUUUUGUUUUCUAAACUUGUUAUUUCUCUAUAAAGCACUAUAAGUCUGAGAGCUUAUAUAUCAAAACAUCAUGCAUUCAUUCAUUCAUCAGAAUUUCCUUUGCAGCAUCUGGUAAUUAUUGAGUUUGUGCUCAUCUUUUCUUUGGAAGAUGUGUGAUUUUACUGAUCUUUCCUCUUGUUUCAUAACUGACAGAAGUAUCUCUUUUUAUGCUAGAAACUUUUCGAACGACUGAUGCGUUAUUGUUCGAUGAGUUUCUGUUGUGAUCCCUGUGUCAUCGGCGCGUUUCUGGUAAGCAUCGAAAGACACUUUCACGACUUGCGAGUGUUAUAAGUUGUUAUAAGUUAUAAUUAGUUAUUGACUAUGGUCCAUAAGUUAAGUAGGUUGCUCUGAGCCAAUACUCAUGGGUUAUGAUUCAUUUCGGCGUAACGAUUGAGUUGCACGGUAUCUGCUCAAGUUUUAGCCUAGAUAUUUAUAAGAGUUCAUCAGAGUCAUGGCCAGAUCACGAUAGCCACAUAUCAACCUUCGAUUGAUAACCUAAGUAAGUAUUGAAUCUCCACUGUUACUGAGAUGAACAGUGGAAAUUCCACCCGAGAGCCCGAGAACUUAAUUUGUUUUGCCUCAUUGCAAACCUAGUCCUUGCUACUCAUACUGAUGUUGUUGAGUUCAUUGUAACUAGUUAAUCCUAAGCAUAAAAUGUUAUUUCAAUCAAACCGGACAUAUAACAAAAUGCGUGACACAUUUAUAGGCUAGAGGCUCAAUCGAGGCCGAACCUUCAAAAAACCCCGCUCAAAGAGUGCGCCCCCGUCCCAAAUGAACUCUCUACCAAGGUUUUGGACAAUGAACGGGGAGAUUGCAUCGCGUUUCUUUAUAAGCCUGCAUCGAAUUUAAAAAUUGUUCGGGCUAGCGACACAUUGUCAAAUAUCGAUUCCAAUCAAUUAACAGCGAUUCGUUUCGGAUGGAAAUGAACUAGAUAUGUCUGAUUAACAUUUGUGCAAUAGAACCAGUGUCACCUUAGUGUUAUUAUACAACACACAAUUUCACAAAUAUGCAUCAUUUACAACUGCAAGUAAAUGCUUGAGAGAUGCAAUUCCAACUCCCAAGUAAAUAAUAGAACCAUAAAGAAAAAUGAAUAUCUAGUUGUAUUUGAUGAAAGAAAUAUUUUAAUGGUAAACAUGAUAAUUAUUUAAAAAGUUUGAUGUUACUAUUUGUUGUCUUAGAAUUUUGAAAUUUAGAUGUCUUAAAUGUCCUAUUUAAUCUCAACAAUUUUCCAACGACUGAACCUUCUCCGAUAAAGAUGUCCGCCUCCUCCACUAAACACCACCACAGGCAACCACCGUCCUCCUCCGAACUACACCGCAAUAAUCCCAACCCUAACAAUGCGGUGGCUCCUCCCGCACCUCCUUAAACAACAAUCCCCGACCUGCCACGAAUUGUUGAAACGAAGGUCUUACCAUAUGGAGCAGCUCUUGCAUUUAAUAAUAAUAAAACACAAAAGAAUAUAAAUUGGAACGCAUUGGUCAAAUGUCCCCGUCACAAUGUUCGGUAAAAACGUUGAAGGCAAGGACAAAAUGAUCAAUCCGGACAUCCUUUCCUCGCCAUCAGCGUCUUCGCCAAACGUACUAGGGUGAAUAGAGUCUAACUACCACGUCUCAACUUAACUUUUUAAAAAAUAAAUCAAUUUGUGUUUUGCUAUUGUCAUUAUAUUUACAGAUUAGUAUUAUUAUUAGUAACCGAUACUAAUAAAUUAAAAAAUAAUAAUAAAUUGAAUAGUUAAAUAAUUAAAUUUCUCAUGUAAUUAACUUGAUAAGUAUUUAAAACAUUAUUAGAUAUUUGUUUUGUUUGAGUAGAAAUUAAUUUCCUCGGCCAAUUUCCUGACUCCAUUAGAAAAUUUUAUUUACUCAUAAAUUCAACUUUGCUUUUGCGUCCGCAUCCUCUCUCUCUGUAGCUCCGCGCCUCCCCACUAGGGUUCAACCUCGCCGUCGCAUCUCUCUGAUCUGCCACCGGACAAUUUUCCUUCCUCCCUUCAGCUUUUCAAAUUCCGUAAGUGACACUCUCCUUGCCUUGAUUUUACUUCCGGAUUUCGAUUCUCUAUUCGUUUGUUUUUGGGGCCAAGUUUGAUCUUCUUCUAGUGUUCCUACUAUCCGAUUCGCGUUUUUUUUGGUUUGGUUCGCACUAUCCUGCUCGUCUGCUCUGUUCAUCAUACUUCUAAAUCUGAAUGCAUCUUUGUCGAACUAUCUAUUAGCUUGUAGUGAUUAGGUUUCGGUUCUCCAAGCCGAGUUUUUUUCUUCCUCUUUCGCCAUGAUCCGGAUUGACUACUCCUUUUAAGUUGGGGAUGUGCUUAACUUGCAGUUCAGCUAGUUUUAGUUGCGAUGUCGAUCUAUGGUUGUUGAUUUCAAUUUCAUAUUCUCAAUUUUAUAUGUGGAUGUUGGACUCAGUCAAUUUUGAUUUGGGUAAUAUUGAUAUGCUUUGUCCGCUCGAGAAAAUUGCAAGCUUUUCCAACAACUUUCAGCAGAGCUCUUUCGUUAGACUGAUCUUCACUUGAAAAUUCGUUUUUUUAAUCUCAACCACCCUAUUUGAUCGUGGGUGUGCUUAUUGAAAGGUGGGUCUUUCUCAGUUGCGAUUGGAUGGAAAAAUUUUGUUGUGUUAUUCCAGUGUUCCUACUAUCUGAUUGGCUUAUUGAAUGCUUACAAUUCAAUCUGAAUGCCUCUUUUUCGAACUGUGUACAGAUAGAUCAUGGCUAUGGAGGUGACACAGGUGCUUCUGAAUGCACAAUCGAUAGAUCGCAAUGUUCAGAAGCAAGCUGAGGAGAGCUUGAAUCAGUUCCAAGAGCAGAACCUCCCUGCUUUCUUGUUUUCUCUCUCUGGUGAGCUUGCCAAUGAAGAUAAACCUGCUGAUAGCCGCAGAUUAGCUGGUUUGAUGUUGAAAAAUGCACUGGAUGCUAAGGAGCAGCAUAGGAAGUUUGAGCUUGUUCAGAGAUGGUUGAUGUUGGAUGCUACUGUAAAGGCUCAGAUAAAAACAUGCUUGUUGAAGACACUCUCUUCUCUUGCACCUGAUGCUCGUAAACCUGCAGCUCAAGUAAUUGCCAAAGUUGCUGGAAUUGAGCUCCCCCAGAAACAGUGGCCUGAACUGAUUGGAUCCCUUUUGUCGAAUGUUCAUCAGCUACCUGCUCAUGUCAAGGAAGCAACCUUGGAGACUCUUGGGUAUCUGUGCGAGGAAGUUUCUCCGGAUGCUGUGGAUCAGGAUAACGUGAAUAAAAUCUUGACUGUUGUUGUUCAAGGAAUGAGUUCUUCCGAAGUGAAUACUGAUGUCAG
Molecule: long non-coding RNA, 6425 nt
Filed under: Linum usitatissimum (flax)
Lineage: Eukaryota; Viridiplantae; Streptophyta; Magnoliopsida; Malpighiales; Linaceae
Description: long non-coding RNA (LUSI_LNC005117)
Source: RNAcentral